Molecule: long non-coding RNA, 744 nt
Organism: Acanthochromis polyacanthus (spiny chromis)
Lineage: Eukaryota; Metazoa; Chordata; Actinopteri; Pomacentridae
Exons: 2
Source: RefSeq, a predicted model, not a curated record
UGUAUAUUUUGGUAAUUGGAUUUUCCGUUCUAAAGCAGGUAUUGAAAAACAAAAAACGAGUGGUUAUUUGAUUUUCGUUUUCAAAGGCAAAAAUUAAAAUUGAAAUACAAGGCGUUUUUCCUUUUCACGAUCAAAAAUGGAUAUACGAAUUUUAAAAAAUGCUUUGAUUUUCAUUUUUUAUUUACAAAAACAAAAAAUAAAAUAAGUCAGAGACAGAAACGAAAUAAGAACCGUUUUUCAUUUUCUGAGACCGGAAGUGGUCAUCAGCAAGGGUGGUCAGAUUGAAUCAGAGCCGAGGACUCUCUGUCCCGCCCACAUUUACCGGCUUCUGCUGUUUAUGGACGCUGCUACCGCUGCUGCUAACAACGUUAGCUUCCAAAAGUGGAGAUAAACUCUACAGCCUUGGUCUGGAUCAUUGGGAACAUCUGAUCUGAUGGACUGAGAGCUACAGAGAACAUGAACAUCCAGCUGUGGUUGUCUGAACAGUCUUCUCUCCAUCGCUGUGAGGAAGAGCAGCACUGAUGUCCUCCUCAUGCUUCCAUUAAGAACAAUGAUGCUGCAGAUUAAGCUCCUCUCUUCAUAAUACUUGUCUUGUGACUGUUCAGUUUUUACACUUCACUGUCAGCAACACAUUAUUUAUUUCAUCCAUUUAUUACGUGUUUACACAUCUUUACAGUUCACAAUUGUUAAAUAAUGCAGUUUUUAAAUGUGCAAUGAAGGAAAUAAUGAAGCUCUUGAGCUGAA